GAAUCUUUGACUAGGUUGCUGAAGAAGAGCUUUGAUACUGGACAAAUUGGGGGUUCUUCUCAUCCUCGAGGUGCUCCUUUGGUUUCUCACCUUAUGUACGCGGAUAAUCUUGUCAUAUUCACUAAUGGGUGUAAAAAGUCGAUGAAAGGAUCAAUGGAGGUGUUAAAUAUGUAUGAAGAUUGGUCUAGGUAGCUUAUUAACAAAGAAAAGUCAGC
This 215-nucleotide long non-coding RNA is filed under the name Olea europaea (common olive). Its description in RNAcentral is "long non-coding RNA (OEUR_LNC014713)". Lineage: Eukaryota; Viridiplantae; Streptophyta; Magnoliopsida; Lamiales; Oleaceae. The record is from RNAcentral.